AUAUAUGAAAUUUAUUGUCAAAUUGGUUUCCAUACAACACCCAGUGCUCAUCCCAAAAGGUGCCCUCCUCAAUACCCAUCACCCACCCUCUCCUCCCUCCCACCCCCCAUCAACCCUCAGUUUGUUCUCGGUUUUUAACAGUCUCUUAUGUUUUGGCUCUCUCCCACUCUAACCUCUUUUUUUUUUUUCCUUCCCUUCCCCCAUGGGUUUCUGUUAAGUUUCUUAGGAUCCACAUAAGAGUGAAACCAUAUGGUAUCUGUCUUUCUCUGUAUGGCUUAUUUCACUUAGCAUCACACUCUCCAGUUCCAUCCACUUUGCUACAAAAGGCCAUAUUUCAUUUUUUCUCAUUGCCACGUAGUAUUCCGUUGUGUAUAUAAACCACAAUUUCUUUAUCCAUUCAUCAGUUGAUGGACAUUUAGGCUCUUUCCAUAAUUUGGCUAUUGUUGAGAGUGCUGCUAUAAACAUUGGGGUACAAGUGCCCCUAUGCAUCAGUACUCCUGUAUCCCUAUCUCCCCGCAUUAUUGACAGGAGCCUUAAUGUCACCCACCACGCACGUUCAUGCACGUGCACGCACGCAGUCAGCGAGCGCGCAAACGCGGUGCUUCGGUUUGACAUGCGCAUGUCUGUGCAGCAAGCAGGCUCCCGCUGGCAUUUCUCACCUCCGAGCGCCCGUAGGCCAGAAAGCAAAAGUUGCUUGCUGGACGUGAGACAUUGUCACUGCAAAGUCAACCGUGCAAUCCUGUGAGGAACUAACUGUCCCCCAAGUAGAGACUAGAACCAGAUCUGAGGCUGAGAAGGGUAUGAGAAGGACCCGAAAAGUGUCUUGAGCCAGCUAUAUUACUCUAGGUUCUCCUGAAAAGCAGAAUGAGUAGGAUGGAGAGAAAGAAUGAUUGAAAAAGAGAUCAAUUGAUUUUAAGAAAUUGAAUUACAUCAUUUACAGAGGCUGGCAAGUCCAAAAGCCAUGAAGCAGGCAGAAGGCUGGAAGCUCAGAAACUUUUGGAAAGAAAUGAAAAAUGACAGAUGCAGAGAAAGUUUCUUAACACCUUACUCAGUCCUAUAGCCUGAAUCACUCCUUGGACCCUCCUACCUGCCUCCUUCCCUUUUCAGAGAAAACCAAUAUAUUAUAGAUUGUGUAACCUUCCUAUUUUUGUUUUUAUAACUUUUCCCAUAUAUGUAUAGCACCAUCAAACUUAUAGGUAACAUUUUACAUUAUUUUAAUUUUGUAUGAUAUAUAUUUACAACCUAAUUUUUAAUUUACAU
This is a long non-coding RNA of Acinonyx jubatus (cheetah), 1260 nucleotides long. RefSeq lists it as uncharacterized. The transcript is spliced from 3 exons. The record is from RefSeq and is a predicted model, not a curated record. Lineage: Eukaryota; Metazoa; Chordata; Mammalia; Carnivora; Felidae.